CUAUACCUAGUGUAGAGCGACUGGCCACUGCAUUGAAACGUAGGCUUCAAUGGGUUCUAUUACGGCAAUUACUCAGUGUGCGUGGCUGCACGAACUCAGCUGACACAUCCAACACAGACUUCAAGCAGUUGAUACAGGCUGCUAUUUAGUGGUUGUGACGGCAUUUGAUUGCGUUUUUGUUUUCAUCAUAUAACAAAUUUGGCGUAACCUCUGGUAGGUACACAGAAUACAGCAGUCGGAUCACUUGUCUAGCUUACCUUGCUCCAGUGCAGGCAGCUGUGGAGUUACGUGUGAGUAGCUAUGCAACCUGCUCCCACUGUCUGUCAUUUUUUCAUUCCUAUCCGUGAAUAGCUUGGAAAGCCAGAUGCAGUCGAAUAUUGGGUUUAUGUUUCCUUGACAUUUAUGUCUCUGUUCUGACUCAGACAAUUUUCUUGUAUAGAAUUUGAGAGGCUUAUUGUGGAUCAUGGAAAGUUAUAUUCUGUAUUUUUUCCUAAUGGCCGCAAUUCUCAUCUUCAGAAGUUCCUGUUACAGACGGUCAUGAUGAGUAGAAGAAGGCAACAUGAUGAAGCAAAACUCCAUCACCACUACGUUGGAGUCUUCCCAUUCAGUCAUCAUCCAAUUUGCUCCAAAGAAUCACAUACAAGCAGACGCUUCUUACAGAUGGCUGUCCUCUAGAAUGAAAAUGCACACCAACCACCGGCAAACAUCAAAAGCUAAUCCAACCUUUGGCUUUGUGUGGAAAGGUCUUCGGAAACCCUGUGACUGAUGCAAUGUUGGUGCCCUAGAAGACAAGUCAGCACAGUUCAGACGAGCCAGCCAGAGGAGGUCACCG
This is a long non-coding RNA of Engraulis encrasicolus (European anchovy), 832 nucleotides long. RefSeq lists it as uncharacterized. The record is from RefSeq and is a predicted model, not a curated record. The transcript is spliced from 3 exons. NCBI's taxonomy places the organism in Eukaryota, Metazoa, Chordata, Actinopteri, Clupeiformes, Engraulidae.